This is a long non-coding RNA of Canis lupus familiaris (dog), 528 nucleotides long. RefSeq lists it as uncharacterized. NCBI's taxonomy places the organism in Eukaryota, Metazoa, Chordata, Mammalia, Carnivora, Canidae. The record is from RefSeq and is a predicted model, not a curated record. The transcript has 3 exons.
UAUAUUUCAAAGCACUCAAUCAUAUUUGUCUCUGUUUCUAUUCAUUUUUAUGUAGUUCUAAAUUUUUUCAAGACUCUUGUAUGUCAUAAUUUUCCUGAGGUGAAUCUAAUUAUUGAGGACAUGUUUACUUAAAUAUUUCUCUAAAUUAAAAAAAGUAAACAAAUGAAUAAAUGAGAAACAGAAUCAGACGGACCUGUGUACGGCCUUUGAAUUUUGAAUGUGAUGAUCAUGAGAAGCUUCAUUUCUAGGUUCUUAAUCCUAAGAAUCAAUUGGGUUAAAACUUUGCCUAUGUUUUAACAGUGACAACCUGCUGAUUGUCCACUAUUAACGUUGACAUCAUGAAUGGAUUGUGAAGCCAAUGAAGAUGCGUAUCUUUCUAAUAAAGAAGAACAAGUAGAAAUGAAUGCUCUUCCAAGAAUACUGCUAAUAGCAGAGACUGCUACAAUAAAAUUCCCAUUUUCUAAGAUUAUGCUUUGUUUGAUAUAACUAUAAGAAUGGAAAUUCAUUGGAAAAUUGAUAUUUAUUUAU